Small nucleolar RNA from Larimichthys crocea (large yellow croaker), 169 nucleotides. The record is from Ensembl. NCBI's taxonomy places the organism in Eukaryota, Metazoa, Chordata, Actinopteri, Sciaenidae.
CGCAGCCUUGUCAAAUUCAGUGCGUCCUCCUCAGUGGAUGCCACUGGCCAAAACGGCUGCCACAGUGAAGGUGUAGUUCAUAAACGGCUGCCACAGUGAAGGUGUAGUUCAUGGGCCCCACGGUGCUCCCAACAUGGCCCCUGGGGAUAAAUAUGUACUACACACAAAC